RNAcentral lists this ribosomal RNA (465 nucleotides) under Vreelandella stevensii. RNAcentral describes it as "partial 16S ribosomal RNA". It matches the Rfam family "Bacterial small subunit ribosomal RNA", at positions 338 to 795 of the family's 1533-position model. Lineage: Bacteria; Pseudomonadati; Pseudomonadota; Gammaproteobacteria; Oceanospirillales; Halomonadaceae. The record is from RNAcentral.
CCUACGGGGGGCAGCAGUGGGGAAUAUUGGACAAUGGGCGAAAGCCUGAUCCAGCCAUGCCGCGUGUGUGAAGAAGGCCUUCGGGUUGUAAAGCACUUUCAGUGGGGAAGAAAGCCUUGGGGCUAAUACCCUCGAGGAAGGACAUCACCCACAGAAGAAGCACCGGCUAACUCCGUGCCAGCAGCCGCGGUAAUACGGAGGGUGCGAGCGUUAAUCGGAAUUACUGGGCGUAAAGCGCGCGUAGGCGGUCUGAUAAGCCGGUUGUGAAAGCCCCGGGCUCAACCUGGGAAUGGCAUCCGGAACUGUCAGGCUAGAGUGCAGGAGAGGAAGGUAGAAUUCCCGGUGUAGCGGUGAAAUGCGUAGAGAUCGGGAGGAAUACCAGUGGCGAAGGCGGCCUUCUGGACUGACACUGACGCUGAGGUGCGAAAGCGUGGGUAGCAAACAGGAUUAGAUACCCGGGUAGUC